UACGUAGGGUGCGAGCGUUGUCCGGAAUUAUUGGGCGUAAAGAGCUCGUAGGCGGUGUGUCACGUCGGCCGUGAAAACCUGGGGCUUAACUCUGGGCGUGCGGUCGAUACGGGCAUCACUAGAGUUCGGCAGGGGAGACUGGAAUUCCUGGUGUAGCGGUGAAAUGCGCAGAUAUCAGGAGGAACACCGGUGGCGAAGGCGGGUCUCUGGGCCGAUACUGACGCUGAGGUGCGAAAGCUAGGGUAGCAAACGGG
RNAcentral lists this ribosomal RNA (254 nucleotides) under uncultured bacterium. RNAcentral describes it as "partial 16S ribosomal RNA". It matches the Rfam family "Bacterial small subunit ribosomal RNA", at positions 524 to 776 of the family's 1533-position model. The record is from RNAcentral.